This 64-nucleotide non-coding RNA is filed under the name Pigmentiphaga litoralis. Its description in RNAcentral is "Betaproteobacteria toxic small RNA". It matches the Rfam family "Betaproteobacteria toxic small RNA". From Rfam's summary of the family: Overexpression in amino aid rich medium attenuates growth, suggesting role in repressing amino acid intake and metabolism. Lineage: Bacteria; Pseudomonadati; Pseudomonadota; Betaproteobacteria; Burkholderiales; Alcaligenaceae. The record is from Rfam by way of RNAcentral.
UGUCUCCUCCACCUCCUCAUUUGGUGGAUUAAGCCCGAAGCCUCACGGCUCCGGGCUUUUUUUU